CGUCAGCGGCAGACGGGUGAGUAACGCGUGGGAACGUACCUUUUGGUUCGGAACAACACAGGGAAACUUGUGCUAAUACCGGAUAAGCCCUUACGGGGAAAGAUUUAUCGCCGAAAGAUCGGCCCGCGUCUGAUUAGCUUGUUGGUGAGGUAACGGCUCACCAAGGCGACGAUCAGUAGCUGGUCUGAGAGGAUGAUCAGCCACAUUGGGACUGAGACACGGCCCAAACUUCUACGGGAGGCAGCAGUGGGGAAUAUUGGACAAUGGGCGCAAGCCUGAUCCAGCCAUGCCGCGUGAGUGAUGAAGGCCCUAGGGUUGUAAAGCUCUUUUGUGCGGGAAGAUAAUGACGGUACCGCAAGAAUAAGCCCCGGCUAACUUCGUGCCAGCAGCCGCGGUAAUACGAAGGGGGCUAGCGUUGCUCGGAAUCACUGGGCGUAAAGGGUGCGUAGGCGGGUCUUUAAGUCAGAGGUGAAAGCCUGGAGCUCAACUCCAGAACUGCCUUUGAUACUGAGGAUCUUGAGUUCGGGAGAGGUGAGUGGAACUGCGAGUGUAGAGGUGAAAUUCGUAGAUAUUCGCAAGAACACCAGUGGCGAAGGCGGCUCACUGGCCCGAUACUGACGCUGAGGCACGAAAGCGUGGGGAGCAACAGG
Molecule: ribosomal RNA, 650 nt
Filed under: uncultured bacterium
Lineage: Bacteria
Description: bacterial SSU rRNA
Rfam family: Bacterial small subunit ribosomal RNA
Source: RNAcentral